AUGGAGCCAUGCUGUUUAGAGAGAGAACAAAGACGAAGAAACCGAAUCAAAGAUGAAAAUGCUAUGAAGAUGACUGGAUCGACAUUUGAAGAUGAUCGGUGGAAGUCACGAAUGGAGGCCGAAUUAGAAGCGACGAUUGAAACAAAUCGAAGACAGAAUCGCGAGAAAUUUACAUUUGCAGUUCCUAAGGAUUUUGAUCCAGACAAAGACCUGAUAAAACUUGGCAUUGCAAGUCAGACAACAAUGCUCAAGGGAGAGACUGCAGAGAUUUGUUAG
Molecule: non-coding RNA, 276 nt
Organism: Vicia faba (fava bean)
Lineage: Eukaryota; Viridiplantae; Streptophyta; Magnoliopsida; Fabales; Fabaceae
Source: the annotation of a GenBank genome assembly